GACGUAGGGCGCGAGCGUUUGUCCGGAUUUAUUGGGCGUAAAGAGCUCGUAGGCGGCUCGUUGCGUCGGCUGUGAAAACCCGCAGCUCAACUGUGGGCUUGCAGCUGAUACGGGCGGGCUGGAGUUCGGUAGGGGAGACUGGAAUUCCUGGUGUAGCGGUGAAAUGCGCAGAUAUCAGGAGGAACACCGGUGGCGAAGGCGGGUCUCUGGGCCGAUACUGACGCUGAGGAGCGAAAGCGUGGGGAGCGAACAGG
This 254-nucleotide ribosomal RNA is filed under the name uncultured bacterium. RNAcentral's name for it is "partial 16S ribosomal RNA". It matches the Rfam family "Bacterial small subunit ribosomal RNA", at positions 524 to 776 of the family's 1533-position model. The record is from RNAcentral.